UACGAAGGGUGCAAGCGUUACUCGGAAUUACUGGGCGUAAAGCGUGCGUAGGUGGUUCGUUAAGUCUGAUGUGAAAGCCCUGGGCUCAACCUGGGAAUGGCAUUGGAAACUGGCGACCUAGAGUGCGGUAGAGGGUAGUGGAAUUCCCGGUGUAGCAGUGAAAUGCGUAGAGAUCGGGAGGAACAUCCGUGGCGAAGGCGACCACCUGGACCAGCACUGACACUGAGGCACGAAAGCGUGGGGAGCAAACAGG
Molecule: ribosomal RNA, 253 nt
Filed under: uncultured bacterium
Lineage: Bacteria
Description: partial 16S ribosomal RNA
Rfam family: Bacterial small subunit ribosomal RNA
Source: RNAcentral